ACGUAGGACGCAAGCGUUAUCCGGAAUUACUGGGCGUAAAGAGCGUGUAGGCGGUUCUGUAAGUCAACCGUGAAAGCUCCCGGCUAAACUGGGAGAGGUCGGAUGAGACUGCAGGACUAGAGGGUCGUAGAGGGGUGUGGAAUUCCGGGUGUAGUGGUGAAAUGCGUAGAGAUCCGGAGGAACACCAGAGGCGAAGGCGGCACCCUGGACGACACCAGACGCUGAGACGCGACAGCACGGGGAGCGAACGGGAUUAGAAACCCCGGUAGUCCGUGCCGUAAACGAUGUGUACUAGAUGUUCGGUUGACUACGGUUGAUUGAGCGUCGCAGCAAACGCGAUAAGUACACCGCCUGGGGAGUACGGUCGCAAGGCUA
This 375-nucleotide ribosomal RNA is filed under the name uncultured bacterium. Its description in RNAcentral is "bacterial SSU rRNA". It matches the Rfam family "Bacterial small subunit ribosomal RNA", at positions 525 to 896 of the family's 1533-position model. The record is from RNAcentral.